AGCGUAUAUUAAAGUUGUUGCAGUUAAAAAGCUCGUAGUUGUAUUUCGGGAUUAGUACGUUGGUCGUGCCUUCGGUACGUACUGGUGUUACUGAUUCCUACCUUCUGACGAACCAUCAUGUCAUUAAUUUGGUGUGGCGGGGAAUCAGGACUGUUACUUUGAAAAAAUUAGAGUGUUUAAAGCAGGCUCGCGCUUGAAUACAUUAGCAUGGAAUAAUGAAAUAGGACGUUGACCCUAUUUUGUUGGUUUCUAGGAUUGACGUAAUGAUUAAUAGGGAUAGUUGGGGGCAUUAGUAUUCAAUUGUCAGAGGUGAAAUUCUUGGAUUUAUUGAAGACUAACUACUGCGAAAGCAUUUGCCAAGGAUGUUUUCAUUAAUCAAGAACGAAAGUUAGGGGAUCGAAGACGAUCAGAUACCGUCGUAGUCUUAACCAUAAACUAUGCCGACUAGGGAUCGGAUGAUGUUAUUUUUAAUGACUC
This 477-nucleotide ribosomal RNA is filed under the name uncultured Glomeromycotina. RNAcentral describes it as "SSU rRNA". It matches the Rfam family "Eukaryotic small subunit ribosomal RNA", at positions 596 to 1077 of the family's 1831-position model. Lineage: Eukaryota; Fungi; Glomeromycota. The record is from RNAcentral.